CCUACGGGUGGCAGCAGUGAGGAAUAUUGGUCAAUGGGCGCGAGCCUGAACCAGCCAAGUAGCGUGAAGGAUGACUGCCCUACGGGUUGUAAACUUCUUUUAUAAAGGAGUAAAGUGAGGCACGUGUGCCUUUUUGUAUGUACUUUAUGAAUAAGGAUCGGCCAACCCCGUGCCAGCAGCCGCGGUAAUUCGGAGGAUCCGAGCGUUAUCCGGAUUUAUUGGGUUUAAAGGGAGCGUAGGGUGGUUGUUAAGUCAGUUGUGAAAGUUUGCGGCUCAACCGUAAAAUUGCAAUUGAUACUGGCAGCCUUGAGUACAGUUGAGGUAGGCGGAAUUCGUGGUGUAGCGGUGAAAUGCUUAGAUAUCACGAAGAACUCCGAUUGCGAAGGCAGCCUACUGGACUGCCACUGACAUUGAUGCUCGAAAGUGUGGGUAUCAAACAGGAUUAGAUACCCUUGUAGUC
This 460-nucleotide ribosomal RNA is filed under the name uncultured bacterium. Its description in RNAcentral is "partial 16S ribosomal RNA". It matches the Rfam family "Bacterial small subunit ribosomal RNA", at positions 338 to 795 of the family's 1533-position model. The record is from RNAcentral.